GACGAACGCUGGCGGCGUGCUUAACACAUGCAAGUCGAACGGAAAGGCCCUGCUUUUGUGGGGUGCUCGAGUGGCGAACGGGUGAGUAACACGUGAGUAACCUGCCCUUGACUUUGGGAUAACUUCAGGAAACUGGGGCUAAUACCGGAUAGGAGCUCCUGCUGCAGGGUGGGGGUUGGAAAGUUUCGGCGGUUGGGGAUGGACUCGCGGCUUAUCAGCUUGUUGGUGGGGUAGUGGCUUACCAAGGCUUUGACGGGUAGCCGGCCUGAGAGGGUGACCGGCCACAUUGGGACUGCGGUACGGCGCAGACUCCUACGUGAGGCAGCAGUGGGGAAUAUUGCACAAUGGGCGGAAGCCUGAUGCAGCAACGCCGCGUGCGGGAUGACGGCCUUCGGGUUGUAAACCGCUUUAGCCUGUGACGAAGCGUGAGUGACGGUAAUGGGUAAAGAAGCACCGGCUAACUACGUG
RNAcentral lists this ribosomal RNA (468 nucleotides) under uncultured bacterium. Its description in RNAcentral is "partial 16S ribosomal RNA". It matches the Rfam family "Bacterial small subunit ribosomal RNA", at positions 28 to 507 of the family's 1533-position model. The record is from RNAcentral.